AUCUCCCGUUGAUAAAAAUCCAAUCCAACAUCUGAGAUCAAAUUUCUCAACUCCUUUUCUUUUUUUAACGAAACAAGAAACCUACUCUCAUUUCCACCAAAAACAUCCGCCUCUCUCCCUAUCUUCUCUCUCUUCCCACUCUCUACACUUCCUCUCUCUCUAAAACCAAAACAACUGAUGCCGCCUCCACCACCUUCACCCUCGACCACCUUUAAGCCGCUUUUCUCCUCCCGUCACCAUUACCCCUUCUGCCACCAGCGAACUGAUUUGCCCUGAUCGUAAUAGUGACUUUGUCGAAGAAUUAGAAGACCCCGACCCAAUCCCCAAUUUGACCCGCUUGCCCGAACCGUUUGCCUCCAUGUUGAGUAACAUUUUCAUUGCAUAACUCGUGUCUGGUUUGUUGGUUUGAGUUACCAACCGAUGAUCCUGAGUACGAGAAUAGGGAGAAGGAGAAUUAUGGGAACGCGAGUGAUGGUAGGUCGGGUUCUAGAAUAAGGUUUGCUACUGUGUCGCUGCCGUGGCCAUUUGGGAUGUUUGGAUCAGCUUCAUACUCUAGCCAGAGGGGAGGAUCUGUCUCGUGGACAACGGGACAGGGAGUCGAAUUAGAAUGAGUUUGAAAGAAAGAAACAAGAAAUAUUAGCUGCUCAAAGUGCAUCAGCUGUGGAUGGAGAAACUAAUUCAGCUAGUCAGCCGACUCAGUUAAGUGAAAUAGAUAUCUGGGUGCAAUCUGUUGGUGGAAAGAAAAAAGGAAGAGUCAAAGGUCUUGGCUCCUUGGAUCGAAGUGUAAAGGCAACUAAUAGUUCAACAUCAACUUGGCCAAAAGAAAUUGAUGAGAUGAUUAAGUCUUUAAACAUUUUGUUUUGGACCAUUUAAUGUAAUGGAUGUUUUGAAUUAUGUUUUUUCUUAGUUGUAAUGGUUUACAUUAAACUUGUUUUGAAUGAUGUUUUUGAGAAUUAUUGAAGGUUUUAAAUAGAUUUUUGAUUAAUUGUGAAA
Molecule: long non-coding RNA, 993 nt
Organism: Capsicum annuum
Lineage: Eukaryota; Viridiplantae; Streptophyta; Magnoliopsida; Solanales; Solanaceae
Exons: 2
Source: RefSeq, a predicted model, not a curated record